GGAAGGGGUCAGAAGAAGA
This 19-nucleotide small nuclear RNA is filed under the name Arabidopsis thaliana (thale cress). RNAcentral's name for it is "snRNA_06503". Lineage: Eukaryota; Viridiplantae; Streptophyta; Magnoliopsida; Brassicales; Brassicaceae. The record is from RNAcentral.